UACGGAGGGGCUAGCGUUGUUCGGAAUUACUGGGCGUAAAGCGUGCGUAGGUGGUUUGUUAAGUCUGUUGUGAAAGCCCCGGGCUCAACCUGGGAAUGGCAAUGGAUACUGGCAGGCUAGAGUGCGGUAGAGGGUAGUGGAAUUCCCGGCGUAGCGGUGAAAUGCGUAGAGAUCGGGAGGAACACCAGUGGCGAAGGCGGCUACCUGGACCAGCACUGACACUGAGGCACGAAAGCGUGGGGAGCAAACAGG
Molecule: ribosomal RNA, 252 nt
Filed under: uncultured bacterium
Lineage: Bacteria
Description: partial 16S ribosomal RNA
Rfam family: Bacterial small subunit ribosomal RNA
Source: RNAcentral